AGUUCCUUAACUUUAGGACUCAAAGCGGUAUUUACACUUGUACGUUCUUUCUCCCUCAUCGAACAGAGAAAAAGCUUUACGGCACAAUAAAAACCCUAGCUCAAGAGUGGAGUUCGUCCCUUCGGGGACAUCCGAUAAAAUUGGAACGAUACAGAGAAGAUUAGCAUGGCCCCUGCGCAAGGAUGACACGCACAAAUCGAGAAAUGGUCCAAAUUUUUUUGGCUCCUUCGCCGAUACUUCGAUGCCGCCAAAAAUGUUUUGCCGGUCGGCGGCGGCGAUGCUCUUCACGAAAUUUCUUGAGGCUUUGGAGGUUGUCCAUAUGCUCAGGUGAACCUGGAUAUAUGUGACUACUGAGGAUGUUGCUUCCAUGCUCAAUGGACUACAUUGGCUGCAGGAGACUUUAUCUGCAACCGAUCUGGGACGGCUUCUGGUUCUGUGGUUGCCAUUUUCUUGAGGUCUGAGCCACUGGUACUGCCUAAAACUUCUUGUAUCUCUGAUGCCUUUGGCAUGUCUAUAUUGCAUUUUUGACAUGAAAGUCACUUUGGACCAACUCCACUGUACCAUCAUCGUCUUGUGCUGUAAAACAUACCGACUCUGGCAUGCAUGUCCAGGUGAGGACUGUGCGAACCCUCGUGUCGCAUGCAAAGUAAGGGGAGGACUUAGAAGAACGAUUAUACGUACCUUUGUGGAAGAUAGAAUUAUAAUCGUGCAUGGGUUGGUAAUUUGCAAGACAAUAACAGUAUGAAAAGGUGAAGGAACUACUAUAUCUUUAUGGAGCAAACUCAAUUUAAUGUUACUGUCUGAUGUUUUUUGAAAUAAACUUCUUAAAUGAACUGCUAUUGAGUCGAUGAACCCGUAGGUGAUUUUCGAAUUAGGUAGAAUGAUUACUUAAUAGUCUGUAAGAUGGUACAAACUAGUGGUAUUCAUCAUAAUUGUUGAAUACAAGCCAUAGCUUUAUCCACUGCAACAUGUUGUAGGACCUCAGGAUAAUACGUUGCAGCAUGUCAGCUCUUGGGGUUAAUUUCACGAGGCAUUUACAUGUUCUUCAAACUUGCCUAAGAACUGUACAAAACAUUUGUUUCCUGCUGAGGAAGUAUACGAUUGUGGGUAGUUGUAGAUACAAAGAGUCCUAGUUUAUGGCUCUGCUCUUCUGAAUGUUUACAGCUCAUUUAUUG
Nicotiana tabacum (common tobacco) is the source of this 1175-nucleotide long non-coding RNA. RefSeq lists it as uncharacterized. NCBI's taxonomy places the organism in Eukaryota, Viridiplantae, Streptophyta, Magnoliopsida, Solanales, Solanaceae. The record is from RefSeq and is a predicted model, not a curated record.